RNAcentral lists this ribosomal RNA (250 nucleotides) under uncultured bacterium. RNAcentral's name for it is "partial 16S ribosomal RNA". It matches the Rfam family "Bacterial small subunit ribosomal RNA", at positions 57 to 305 of the family's 1533-position model. The record is from RNAcentral.
GCAAGUCGAACGAAAAGCUAGAGCUUGCUCUAGCAGACGAGUGGCGAAAGGGUGAGUAACGCGUGAGCAACUUGCCUCCAAGUUGGGAAUAACGUCUGGAAACGGGCGCUAAAACCGAAUGUGAAUAUUUAACCGCAUGGUUUUAUAUUUAAAAAUUUAUUGCUUGGAGAUGGGCUCGCGUCCCAUUAGCUAGUUGGUGGGGUAAUGGCCUACCAAGGCACCGAUGGGUAGCUGGUCUGAGAGGAUGAUC